RNAcentral lists this ribosomal RNA (877 nucleotides) under Lactiplantibacillus plantarum. RNAcentral describes it as "bacterial SSU rRNA". It matches the Rfam family "Bacterial small subunit ribosomal RNA", at positions 33 to 876 of the family's 1533-position model. Lineage: Bacteria; Bacillati; Bacillota; Bacilli; Lactobacillales; Lactobacillaceae. The record is from RNAcentral.
ACGCUGGCGGCGUGCUAAUACAUGCAAGUCGAACGAACUCUGGUAUUGAUUGGUGCUUGCAUCAUGAUUUACAUUUGAGUGAGUGGCGAACUGGUGAGUAACACGUGGGAAACCUGCCCAGAAGCGGGGGAUAACACCUGGAAACAGAUGCUAAUACCGCAUAACAACUUGGACCGCAUGGUCCGAGCUUGAAAGAUGGCUUCGGCUAUCACUUUUGGAUGGUCCCGCGGCGUAUUAGCUAGAUGGUGGGGUAACGGCUCACCAUGGCAAUGAUACGUAGCCGACCUGAGAGGGUAAUCGGCCACAUUGGGACUGAGACACGGCCCAAACUCCUACGGGAGGCAGCAGUAGGGAAUCUUCCACAAUGGACGAAAGUCUGAUGGAGCAACGCCGCGUGAGUGAAGAAGGGUUUCGGCUCGUAAAACUCUGUUGUUAAAGAAGAACAUAUUUGAGAGUAACUGUUCAGGUAUUGACGGUAUUUAACCAGAAAGCCACGGCUAACUACGUGCCAGCAGCCGCGGUAAUACGUAGGUGGCAAGCGUUGUCCGGAUUUAUUGGGCGUAAAGCGAGCGCAGGCGGUUUUUUAAGUCUGAUGUGAAAGCCUUCGGCUCAACCGAAGAAGUGCAUCGGAAACUGGGAAACUUGAGUGCAGAAGAGGACAGUGGAACUCCAUGUGUAGCGGUGAAAUGCGUAGAUAUAUGGAAGAACACCAGUGGCGAAGGCGGCUGUCUGGUCUGUAACUGACGCUGAGGCUCGAAAGUAUGGGUAGCAAACAGGAUUAGAUACCCUGGUAGUCCAUACCGUAAACGAUGAAUGCUAAGUGUUGGAGGGUUUCCGCCCUUCAGUGCUGCAGCUAACGCAUUAAGCAUCCGCCUGG